Molecule: long non-coding RNA, 489 nt
Filed under: Cricetulus griseus (Chinese hamster)
Lineage: Eukaryota; Metazoa; Chordata; Mammalia; Rodentia; Cricetidae
Description: lncRNA (ENSCGRG00015031260.1)
Source: RNAcentral
AGCACUUGUUUGUGUUCUGGAGGUUAGUCAGUCUGACAGGGAUGAGAUGCAGUCUGAAGUACUUUCACUUUGCAUUUCCUGGGCGGAUAUUAACUCAUGGUGUGUAGCUGGAAAAUUAUUUCUCCCACUCUGAAGGACACAGCGACAAAUGACAACAACAUUUCUCAUCAGGGAGGUAAAUGAUGUGGCUGAUGUUUGUGAUUCCGUGGAUGUGCUGGAGCUAGUGUAAGUCAGUCUUGCACAUUGCUGGCUAGAAGAUGCAGGCUGCACUGAAGUACUCACGCAGUGCUGGAGUCUCUACAAUCUAGCCAUCCCAAGGAGACCCAGAUUCCAUUCUGCUUGAAGUCAGAUUCUCACCACUAAGCUUUAGCUGCACCCAAACUUGAAAGAUAUACUUGUACAAGUUAGCACUGCACAACUCCAGGGAGCUCGCUGUUUCAUGAUGGUCCUGGAAUCAUCUCAGACUCUCAUUCUCUCUUCCCAGAUCAG